Lepisosteus oculatus (spotted gar) is the source of this 813-nucleotide long non-coding RNA. RefSeq lists it as uncharacterized. NCBI's taxonomy places the organism in Eukaryota, Metazoa, Chordata, Actinopteri, Semionotiformes, Lepisosteidae. The record is from RefSeq and is a predicted model, not a curated record.
GUAUUAACAGAAUGGUUACUGUAAUAUAGUACUUCUUAAGUUAAGCACUUAAAUGUAAUUAAAACGUCUUUUAUACGUUCUGGAAACACUUGGAAAUGAAAAAUAAACAGUAAAAGAGACAGACUGUGUGAGCGAGAGAGAAAUCCUGCGUGUGACUCUCCACGCACGACUCUGAUGAGAGACGGGGAGGCUGUUCCCGCACAAGAUGGCGUCGUGUACCGCGAACGUGCAGUGCUGCAGAAGAUGAAACAACACACACGACAGGUCAGUGAGUCAGUGUGCAUCCUGACCACUCAAGCAAUAAUGAAGCUGUUGAAAUCCUAAGAAGCAGCAGUGGAUGUGAAAACAUGACUAGGGUACAAGAUAGAGGAUUCUUCAGAAUUAAAGCCAACAGCCCCUUUUGCACCUGGACUUUAGCGUCUUGUCCACAGGGAGUGAAGGGGGCGCAAACUCUUCUGCUUUUCACCCAGCCCUAGAGCGUAAGUCUUCAGGCAGUUUGUUCUUGGACAGGGGGCGCAAACUCUUCUGCUUUUCACCCAGCCCGAGAGCGUCAGUCUUCAGGCAGUUUGUUCUUGGACGGGUAAGCCAGCGGCUUCAUCACGAUGUAUGAUGUCUGAGUCCAUUCAGAUUAUUAAAUUGAGUUGUUUUAGUUUGUUUGCAAGUUUGUUUCCUUUCAGACUCAACUGGUGUCAGCAUGUAGGAUCCAAGGGAUUGUAAAGGAUGAACUCCCUUUAUUAUCUAACCACUUCAUGAACAUUGAAUGAGGGAAAAUGCUGAGAGUUUUACACCUUGUGUGUUUUCUGUUUUAAAUUC